This 505-nucleotide ribosomal RNA is filed under the name uncultured bacterium. RNAcentral's name for it is "partial 16S ribosomal RNA". It matches the Rfam family "Bacterial small subunit ribosomal RNA", at positions 28 to 507 of the family's 1533-position model. The record is from RNAcentral.
GAUGAACGCUGGCGGCGUGCCUAGUACAUGCAAGUCGAGCGCGACUGAUUACACCGUUCUUCGGAACACCGUAAUCAUCGAGCGGCGGACGGGUGAGUAACACGUGGGCAACCUACCCUUAAGACUGGGAUAACCGCGGGAAACCGUGGCUAAUACCGGAUAAUACUUUUAUACAACGGUAUAGAAGUUGAAAGGUGGAUUUCUAUCACUUAAGGAUGGGCCUGCGGCGCAUUAGCUGGUUGGUAAGGUAACGGCUUACCAAGGCGACGAUGCGUAGCCGACCUGAGAGGGUGAUCGGCCACACUGGAACUGAGACACGGUCCAGACUCCUACGGGAGGCAGCAGUAGGGAAUCUUCCGCAAUGGGCGAAAGCCUGACGGAGCAACGCCGCGUGUGCGAAGAAGGUCUUCGGAUCGUAAAGCACUGUUGUUAAGGAAGAACGACAGUAAGAGUAACUGUUUACUGUGUGACGGUACUUAACCAGAAAGCCACGGCUAACUACGUG